This 444-nucleotide ribosomal RNA is filed under the name uncultured bacterium. RNAcentral's name for it is "partial 16S ribosomal RNA". It matches the Rfam family "Bacterial small subunit ribosomal RNA", at positions 338 to 795 of the family's 1533-position model. The record is from RNAcentral.
CCUACGGGAGUCAGCAGUGGGGAAUAUUGGGCAAUGGGGGCAACUCUUACCCAGCAAUGCCGCGUGAAUGAAGAAGGUCUUCGGGUUGUAAACUUCUUUUAUUGGGGACGAAAAACGUGACGGUACCCUAGGAAUAAGCCCCGGCUAACUACGUGCCAGCAGCCGCGGUAAUACGUAGGGAGCGAGCGUUAUUCGGAUUUACUGGGCGUAAAGGGUGUGUAGGCGGUGUGGCAAGUCAGAGGUGAAAUACCUGGAGCUGAACUCAGGUGCUGCUUCUAAAACUGCCAUCCUUGAGUGAAGGAGAGGCAAGCGGAAUUCCUAGUGUAGCGGUGGAAUGCGUAGAUAUUAGGAGGAACAUCAGUGGCGAAGGCGACUUGCUGGACGGUAACUGACGCUGAGGCACGAAAGUGUGGGGAGCAAACAGGAUUAGAUACCCUGGUAGUC